GACGAACGCUGGCGGCGUGCUUAACACAUGCAAGUCGAGCGGUAAGGCCCUUUCGGGGGUACGACGAGCGGCGAACGGGUGAGUAACACGUGGGUGACCUGCCCUCCAGCUCUGGGAGUAAGCCUGGGAAACCGGGGUCUAAUACUGGAUAUGACUCCAUGACGCAUGUUGUGGGGUGGGAAAGCCUUGUGCGGCUGAGGAUGGGCCCGCGGCCUAUCAGCUUGUUGGUGGGGUGAUGGCCUACCAAGGCGACGACGGGUAGCCGG
RNAcentral lists this ribosomal RNA (266 nucleotides) under uncultured bacterium. RNAcentral describes it as "partial 16S ribosomal RNA". It matches the Rfam family "Bacterial small subunit ribosomal RNA", at positions 28 to 290 of the family's 1533-position model. The record is from RNAcentral.